This 305-nucleotide long non-coding RNA is filed under the name Xyrichtys novacula (pearly razorfish). The record is from RNAcentral. Lineage: Eukaryota; Metazoa; Chordata; Actinopteri; Labriformes; Labridae.
UUACUCAUUCAGAGGGAGAGUCUCUGUGAUGACGCUCGGCUCAAACAGCGUAUCCCCCGGUGAUCUACUCAAUCUCUGUCCUCCCAUUGGCUGUAUCAGGUGUCAAUCAUAGAAAACAUGAACCCCCUAAUAACUUUUAAAAAUGGAGCUGUACAGAAAAAAGAGGACUUGAGCACAAACCAGUCUGACAGUAACUACAUGUCAACAUCACAACCAGGGGGGAGAAACAUUUAUAUUCUGUGUCAUUCAUUUAUAAAGUUUGUCCACAGCUCCAUAAGGAGGCGGGGUUUAGGACCUAUACUGCA